UACGGGGGGACCGAGCGUUGUCCGGAAUCAUUGGGCGUAAAGAGCGUGUAGGCGGCCACUUAAGUCCUGCGUGAAAUCCUGCGGCUCAACCGCAGGCGGUCGUGGGAAACUGGGUGGCUAGAGUGCGGGAGAGGAGAGUGGAAUUCCCGGUGUAGCGGUGAAAUGCGCAGAUAUCGAGAGGAACACCUGCGGCGAAGGCGGGUCUCUGGACAGUUCCUGACGCUGAGGCACGAAGGCCAGGGGAGCAAACGGG
Molecule: ribosomal RNA, 253 nt
Filed under: uncultured bacterium
Lineage: Bacteria
Description: partial 16S ribosomal RNA
Rfam family: Bacterial small subunit ribosomal RNA
Source: RNAcentral